This 291-nucleotide long non-coding RNA is filed under the name Capsicum annuum. Its description in RNAcentral is "long non-coding RNA (CANN_LNC014302)". The record is from RNAcentral. Lineage: Eukaryota; Viridiplantae; Streptophyta; Magnoliopsida; Solanales; Solanaceae.
GGGUAGACUAGGGGCAUGUCAUAGGUCGGGGUUGGGAUUAGGAAUUAUUGGGUCUAGGCUGGGGUUUGGGGGGUUAGGUUUGGGUCUGGUCUAGGAUCAAGUUUAGGGUUAGGGAUAGGGGUAGUAAGGUUAGGUGGGAUAAGAGAGCUUCUAGGUUGUGAGUUGGGUCUUGGAACAUUGGUACUUUGCAAGGUAAGUCUAUAGAGCUGGUGAAGAUUCUUAGAAAGGGGAGGGUUAGUGUACCGUGUGUCCAGAAAACUAAAUGGGUAGGCACUAAAGUGAGAGAUGUGG